Molecule: ribosomal RNA, 464 nt
Filed under: uncultured bacterium
Lineage: Bacteria
Description: partial 16S ribosomal RNA
Rfam family: Bacterial small subunit ribosomal RNA
Source: RNAcentral
GACGAACGCUGGCGGCGUGCUUAACACAUGCAAGUCGAACGGAAAGGCCCUGCUUGCGGGGUCCUCGAGGGGCGAACGGGUAGGUAACCCGUGGGGGAUCUGCCCGGACCUUCGGGUUAGGCCUGGGAAAUUGGGUUUAUUACCGGAUAGGGGCCAUUUUUGGUGGGAUGGUUGGAAGGUUUUUUCGGUGUAGGAUGAGCUCGCGGCCUAUCAGCUUGUUGGUGGGGUAAUGGCCUACCAAGGCGGCGACGGGUAGCCGGCCUGAGAGGGUGGACGGCCACAUUGGGACUGAGAUACGGCCCAGACUCCUACGGGAGGCAGCAGUGGGGAAUAUUGCACAAUGGGCGCAAGCCUGAUGCAGCGACGCCGCGUGGGGGAUGACGGCCUUCGGGUUGUAAACUCCUUUCGCUAGGGACGAAGCUUUUGUGACGGUACCUAGAUAAGAAGCACCGGCUAACUACGUG